RNAcentral lists this small nuclear RNA (129 nucleotides) under Suricata suricatta (meerkat). RNAcentral's name for it is "U4 spliceosomal RNA (ENSSSUG00005000495.1)". It matches the Rfam family "U4 spliceosomal RNA". Rfam says of the family: U4 small nuclear RNA (U4 snRNA) is a component of the major U2-dependent spliceosome. The structure of U4 snRNA from yeast and human has been reported. Lineage: Eukaryota; Metazoa; Chordata; Mammalia; Carnivora; Herpestidae. The record is from Rfam by way of RNAcentral.
AAGCUUUCGCAGUGGCAGUAUUGUAGCCAAUGAGGUUUAUCCGAGGCACGAUUAUUGCUAAUUGGAAUCCUCAGGUAAAGUGCUUUGCCCUCUUACACAGGUGAAGUAAGCUUUGAGAAAGCCAGAGCA